RNAcentral lists this ribosomal RNA (253 nucleotides) under uncultured bacterium. RNAcentral's name for it is "partial 16S ribosomal RNA". It matches the Rfam family "Bacterial small subunit ribosomal RNA", at positions 524 to 776 of the family's 1533-position model. The record is from RNAcentral.
UACGUAGGUGGCAAGCGUUGUUCGGAAUUAUUGGGCGUAAAGCGCGCGUAGGCGGUUACUCAAGUCGGAUGUGAAAGCCCUCGGCUUAACUGAGGAAGUGCACCCGAAACUGAGUAGCUAGAGUACUAAAGAGGGUCGCGGAAUUCCCGGUGUAGAGGUGAAAUUCGUAGAUAUCGGGAGGAACACCGGUGGCGAAGGCGGCGACCUGGGUAGAUACUGACGCUGAGGCGCGAAAGCGUGGGGAGCAAACAGG